RNAcentral lists this ribosomal RNA (305 nucleotides) under uncultured bacterium. RNAcentral describes it as "bacterial SSU rRNA". It matches the Rfam family "Bacterial small subunit ribosomal RNA", at positions 335 to 656 of the family's 1533-position model. The record is from RNAcentral.
UUUCCUACGGGGGGCAGCAGUGGGGAAUAUUGCACAAUGGGCGCAAGCCUGAUGCAGCGACGCCGCGUGCGGGAUGGAGGCCUUCGGAUUGUAAAGCUCUGUUAGCAGGGAAGAGGAAGGACGGUACCUGCAGAGGAAGCCACGGCUAACUACGUGCCAGCAGCCGCGGUAAUACGUAGGUGGCAAGCGUUGUUCGGAAUAACUGGGCGUAAAGGAUGCGUAGGCGGUUAAACAAGUUAUAUGUUAAAUAUAUAGGCUUAACCUGUAGAAAGCAUAUAAAACUGUUUAACUAGAGUGCAGGAGAG